This is a long non-coding RNA of Mustela erminea (ermine), 151 nucleotides long. RefSeq lists it as uncharacterized. Lineage: Eukaryota; Metazoa; Chordata; Mammalia; Carnivora; Mustelidae. The transcript is spliced from 3 exons. The record is from RefSeq and is a predicted model, not a curated record.
CAUAGAAUAAGGCUUUGCAUAACUUUGUCUCAGUCUCGUUCCUUUGAUAACAGACCCAACAUAUGGGGGCUCAUCCGGGAUCAAACAACGAGAGUUGAGCCAGCAUCAGAAUUUCUGGGAAAAGCCUCCGGAGUGUUGCAUUUCUAUUCAC